AGAGGUUUAAAACUCAUCCUAAAAUUGUCUCAUCGGUCUUAACCUCAUGAAACAUUAACCCAUCUAUGGGCACUCCUGGUGGAAAAUUGCUUAAGAAAGAUUUGAGGUGUUCAUCAGAGGAGUUAAAACCAGAAAACGUGAAAAGAGAGAACUCUUACCAAGGACACAUCAUCUAGAAUGAGGCCGAAGGUUGCUGCUCUCUCUGUGAGGUCUUCACUCACUUGCCUUGAGACCAGCUCUCUCUGGGUGAUCAAUUCUCCAGCAUCAAAGCGAGCC
Rhea pennata is the source of this 276-nucleotide long non-coding RNA. RefSeq lists it as uncharacterized. Lineage: Eukaryota; Metazoa; Chordata; Aves; Rheiformes; Rheidae. The record is from RefSeq and is a predicted model, not a curated record. The transcript is spliced from 2 exons.